UCAAUGACUGGUCUAACUUGAGGCCCAAGC
RNAcentral lists this non-coding RNA (30 nucleotides) under Rattus norvegicus (Norway rat). The record is from RNAcentral. Lineage: Eukaryota; Metazoa; Chordata; Mammalia; Rodentia; Muridae.